CCGGGGCUGCUUCUCCUGCCAAGUCAACUGAAAAAAGGGGAUAAGGUUCAGGUUUCUAUACUUUGCAACAGAAAUUGGAGGAGAGGACACGACUGGACAACGACUGAAGAAGGGCAAAGCAGAUCUGAACCAGAGAUUUCUAUAGCCAACCAUGGAGAAGAAACAAGUGCCUGCAGGGGAGAAAAAUGAAGAUUCUGAAAAUGGAGAAUGCCUUCUCCUAAAAUGGAGGCUAAGUCAAACAGAGACUAAAUUUCACAGAUUCCUCCAUGCUUUUAGAACUAGAGGGAAACCAAGAGAUCCCUUCAUCCGACCACAUUCUACACAACAGGCCCAGCAUUAGCCCAGGCAGUCUGUAUCCAACCAUCCUCAUCAUUAAUAUCAAUUCCUCUGGACUUCGUCAUGCUCCCUAGAAACUCAUCAUCCUGCAAGAUUACCCCUCAUCAGGACUCUUCCCCGAACCCCUUUCCUUCCUCUGACUGGAGAGGGCAGAAGACGGACAUCGGAUGGCUCUUCCCAGACCUUCUGCCCAGGGCUAUCCCCUCAUUUCCAACUUGGCUGCAUUCCUACGGACUACAUCAUCUCUCUGCUCCCACCAGGGACCCCUUCCUUUCCGCUAUCACUCCCCCACCCUUUCAUGUUUCUUCUUUCGUGUUGUCCUCCCCCAUUUGAUGGUGAGCUCCUUGAAGAGAGGGAUUGUCUUUUGUCUUUUGCUGUAUCCCCAGUAUUUAGCAUAGUGCCUGGCACAAAGUUGAUACUUAAUAAAUAUUUAUUAACUGGCUGGCUGGCUUUUGACUACGCCACUCCAACUUCCCCACUGAGCUGUACUGAAUAAAGAGCUUUAACCACUAAAA
Molecule: long non-coding RNA, 851 nt
Organism: Trichosurus vulpecula (common brushtail)
Lineage: Eukaryota; Metazoa; Chordata; Mammalia; Diprotodontia; Phalangeridae
Exons: 3
Source: RefSeq, a predicted model, not a curated record